GACGAACGCUGGCGGCGCGCUUAACACAUGCAAGUCGAACGGAAAGGCCUGCUUUCCCUUGUGGAUUGCGGGUACUCGAGUGGCGAACGGGUGAGUAACACGUGAGUGAUCUGCCCCCAACUUGGGUAUAAGCCUGGGAAACUGGGUCUAAUUCCCGAUAGGACUGCAGGGUGGUGCCUGUGGUGGAAAACGAUUUUCUAGUGGUUGGGGAUGAGCUCGCGGCCUAUCAGCUUGUUGGUGGGGUAAUGGCCUACCAAGGCGGCGACGGGUAGCCGGCCUGAGAGGGUGGACGGGCACAUUGGGACUGAGAUACGGCCCAGACUCAUACGGGAGGCAGGAGUGGGGAAUAUUGCACGAUGGGCGGAAGCCUGAUGCAGCGACGCCGCGUGGGGGAUGACGGCCUUCGGGUUGUAAACUCCUUUCGACCGCGAGGAAGCCACCUGGUUGGAAGGGUGGUGACGGUAGUGGUAGAAGAAGCACCGGCUAACUACGUG
RNAcentral lists this ribosomal RNA (494 nucleotides) under uncultured bacterium. RNAcentral describes it as "partial 16S ribosomal RNA". It matches the Rfam family "Bacterial small subunit ribosomal RNA", at positions 28 to 507 of the family's 1533-position model. The record is from RNAcentral.